GCGACCCCAGGUCAGGCGGGACUACCCGCUGAGUUUAAGCAUAUCAAA
This 48-nucleotide ribosomal RNA is filed under the name Taraxacum coreanum. Its description in RNAcentral is "partial 26S ribosomal RNA". Lineage: Eukaryota; Viridiplantae; Streptophyta; Magnoliopsida; Asterales; Asteraceae. RNAcentral also lists the same sequence under 1 other name. The record is from RNAcentral.